CCUACGGGCGGCAGCAGUGGGGAAUAUUGCACAAUGGGGGAAACCCUGAUGCAGCGACGCCGCGUGAGUGAAGAAGUAAUUCGUUAUGUAAAGCUCUAUCAGCAGGGAAGAAAAUGACGGUACCUGAGUAAGAAGCCCCGGCUAACUACGUGCCAGCAGCCGCGGUAAUACGUAGGGGGCAAGCGUUAUCCGGAUUUACUGGGUGGAAAGGGAGCGUAGACGGCAGUGCAAGUCUGGAGUGAAAGGCGGGGGCUCAACCCCCGGACUGCUCUUGAAACUGUACGGCUGGAGUGCAGGAGAGGUAAGUGGAAUUCCUAGUGUAGCGGUGAAAUGCGUAGAUAUUAGGAGGAACACCAGUGGCGAAGGCGGCUUACUGGACUGUAACUGACGUUGAGGCUCGAAAGCGUGGGGAGCAAACAGGAUUAGAUACCCCAGUAGUC
Molecule: ribosomal RNA, 440 nt
Filed under: uncultured bacterium
Lineage: Bacteria
Description: partial 16S ribosomal RNA
Rfam family: Bacterial small subunit ribosomal RNA
Source: RNAcentral